Molecule: non-coding RNA, 73 nt
Organism: Stegodyphus mimosarum
Lineage: Eukaryota; Metazoa; Arthropoda; Arachnida; Araneae; Eresidae
Source: Rfam
ACCUUCGUGGUGUAGUGGUCAGUACGCUGGGCGCGCAUUCUAGAAGGCCGUGGUUCGAGUCCCGACGAAGGUU